Molecule: ribosomal RNA, 455 nt
Filed under: uncultured bacterium
Lineage: Bacteria
Description: bacterial SSU rRNA
Rfam family: Bacterial small subunit ribosomal RNA
Source: RNAcentral
GAUGAAUGCUGGCGGCGUGCCUAAUACAUGCAAGUCGAGCGGUAAGGCCCUUCGGGGUACACGAGCGGCGGACGGCUGAGUAACGCGUGGGAACAUGCCCCAAAGUGAGGGAUAACGCACCGAAAGGUGUGCUAAUACCGCAUAUGGUCUUCGGAUUAAAGGAUUUAUCCGCUUUGGGAGUGGCCCGCGUACGAUUAGAUUGUUGGUGAAGUAACGGCUCACCAAGUCGACGAUCGUUAACUGGUCUGAGAGGAUGAUCAGUCAGACUGGAACUGAGACACGGUCCAGACUCCUACGGGAGGCAGCAGUAAGGAAUCUUCCACAAUGGGCGAAAGCCUGAUGGAGCAACGCCGCGUGCAGGAUGAAGGCCCUCGGGUCGUAAACUGCUUUUAUGAGUGAAGAAUAUGACGGUAACUCAUGAAUAAGCACCGGCUAACUACGUGCCAGCAGCCGCG